CGGGACGGGUGAGUAACGCGUGGGUAACCUGCCUUGUACAGGGGGAUAACAGUUGGAAACGGCUGCUAAUACCGCAUAAGCGCACGGCAUCGCAUGAUGCAGUGUGAAAAACUCCGGUGGUAUAAGAUGGACCCGCGUCUGAUUAGCCAGUUGGCAGGGUAACGGCCUACCAAAGCGACGAUCAGUAGCCGACCUGAGAGGGUGACCGGCCACAUUGGGACUGAGACACGGCCCAA
RNAcentral lists this ribosomal RNA (236 nucleotides) under uncultured bacterium. RNAcentral describes it as "partial 16S ribosomal RNA". It matches the Rfam family "Bacterial small subunit ribosomal RNA", at positions 100 to 334 of the family's 1533-position model. The record is from RNAcentral.